AGGACGAACGCUGGCGGCGUGCUUAACACAUGCAAGUCGUAGCGGAAAGGCCCUUCGGGGUACUCGAGCGGACGAACGGGUGAGUAACACGUGAGUAACCUGCCCUGGACUUUGGGAUAACCCUCGGAAACGGGGGCUAAUACCGGAUACGACGCACUCUCGCAUGGGAUGUGUGUGGAAAGUUUUUCGGUUGGGAUGGGCUCGCGGACUAUCAGCUUGUUGGUGGGGUGAUGGCCUACCAAGGCGACGACGGUUA
RNAcentral lists this ribosomal RNA (256 nucleotides) under uncultured bacterium. RNAcentral describes it as "partial small subunit ribosomal RNA". It matches the Rfam family "Bacterial small subunit ribosomal RNA", at positions 26 to 285 of the family's 1533-position model. The record is from RNAcentral.